CCUACGGGAGGCAGCAGUGAGGAAUAUUGGACAAUGGGCGCAAGCCUGAUCCAGCCAUGCCGCGUGCAGGAAGACGCAUCUAUGGUGUGUAAACUGCUUUUGUACGGGAAGAAACACUCCUUCGUGAAGGAGCUUGACGGUACCGUAAGAAUAAGGAUCGGCUAACUCCGUGCCAGCAGCCGCGGUAAUACGGAGGAUCCAAGCGUUAUCCGGAAUCAUUGGGUUUAAAGGGUCCGUAGGCGGUUUAAUAAGUCAGUGGUGAAAUCUGGUCGCUCAACGAUCAAACGGCCAUUGAUACUGUUAGACUUGAAUUACUAGGAAGUAACUAGAAUAUGUAGUGUAGCGGUGAAGUGCUUAGAUAUUACAUGGAAUACCAAUUGCGAAGGCAGGUUACUACUAGUGGAUUGACGCUGAUGGACGAAAGCGUGGGGAGCGAACAGGAUUAGAUACCCUGGUAGUCCACGCCGUAAACGAUGGAUACUAGCUGUUGGGCGCAAAGUUCAGUGGCUAAGCGAAAAGUGAUAAGUAUCCCACCUGGGGAGUACGUUCGCAAGAANAGAAUACAAAGAAAGUUAGAGGCGUGAGAGAGCGAGGACGACACGAGGGAGGAGG
This 612-nucleotide ribosomal RNA is filed under the name uncultured bacterium. RNAcentral describes it as "bacterial SSU rRNA". It matches the Rfam family "Bacterial small subunit ribosomal RNA", at positions 338 to 951 of the family's 1533-position model. The record is from RNAcentral.